RNAcentral lists this non-coding RNA (218 nucleotides) under Pseudomonas fluorescens HK44. RNAcentral describes it as "sRNA regulator of biofilms A". It matches the Rfam family "sRNA regulator of biofilms A". From Rfam's summary of the family: Bacterial strain with deleted SrbA had reduced biofilm mass. Lineage: Bacteria; Pseudomonadati; Pseudomonadota; Gammaproteobacteria; Pseudomonadales; Pseudomonadaceae. The record is from Rfam by way of RNAcentral.
AUCAGGGGCCCUGGCAAGGGCCUUCGGAUCGCGCUCUAACCUUACCGACCUGAGCCGAUUCGUGUCUGUACCGCCCACAAGGUGUGUUUGACGAGGUUGCGACUGGAACGAAGUUGUCCCGAGGGACGGAAGCGUAAUAGGUAGCCCGGCAACACACUGAUGAUCGUACAAAGGCCCACGACGCCCGAAUGCGCCCGCCAGUUCGCCCUUACCUGCUC